Hibiscus syriacus is the source of this 720-nucleotide long non-coding RNA. RefSeq lists it as uncharacterized. The record is from RefSeq and is a predicted model, not a curated record. The transcript has 3 exons. NCBI's taxonomy places the organism in Eukaryota, Viridiplantae, Streptophyta, Magnoliopsida, Malvales, Malvaceae.
GAAGAGGUAGAGGAAUUUGCCUGAGAGAAAUGCGAGCGGUUAUCAAGCGACGACCAACGACGGAGAGAAGCGAAAAUCUACUCCUCUCCCGGAAUCGAAUUCAAUGAGCGAAUUGACGCUUGAAGCUGAAGCUUUGAGAGCCUCUAUUGAUAUAUAUAUGGGCUGGGGAAUGGGUAUAUUGAUUUAGCACAAGGAAGCUCAUAAGGAAAGUUGGACUAGCUAUUCUAUUAAGCCUUAUCGCCAGAAAACACUACAGUUGUCACUGUGCUCUACAGUUGUCACUGUGCUUUGGUUGGACCAAAAUCACCAUCGGCUGUUGGGCUGAGCGUUAACAAUGGCUGCUGGUGAAGGGGAAGAAUUCGUCUACAGGAUUAGCACGGCUUAGGAAUGGGAAGCAUUGCAGAACAAUGGAUCUACUUUUGGCGAAAAUUUGGACAAAUCCUCUGGUUUCAUUCACUUCAGCUCGCUUCAUCAGGUGAAGCCCACACUGCAGAAUUUUUUCUCUAACGUCAAGCUGGAUUUGUACCUUCUUCAAAUUGAUACCAAGACGUUGCAGCUCGGAGGUGAAUUGGUGUAUGAACUUGUGGAUGAUUCGAACAAAUUCCCGCACUUCUAUGGCCCAUCUCGAAGCUUUGCUCCUCUUCCAUUCGAUGCAGUUACAAAAGCCGAGAAGCUGUCGGUCGUAGACGGCCAAUUCAGCUGCAAUUUACUGAAUUAGCA